Molecule: ribosomal RNA, 499 nt
Filed under: uncultured bacterium
Lineage: Bacteria
Description: bacterial SSU rRNA
Rfam family: Bacterial small subunit ribosomal RNA
Source: RNAcentral
CGCUGGCGGCAUGCCUUACACAUGCAAGUCGAACGGCAGCAUGGGAGCUUGCUCCUGAUGGCGAGUGGCGAACGGGUGAGUAAUAUAUCGGAACGUACCUUGUAGUGGGGGAUAACUAGUCGAAAGAUUAGCUAAUACCGCAUACGCCCUUUGGGGGAAAGUGGGGGAUCUGAAAGGACCUCAUGUUAUAAGAGCGGCCGAUAUCUGAUUAGCUAGUUGGUGAGGUAAAGGCUCACCAAGGCAUCGAUCAGUAGCUGGUCUGAGAGGACGACCAGCCACACUGGAACUGAGACACGGUCCAGACUCCUACGGGAGGCAGCAGUGGGGAAUUUUGGACAAUGGGGGCAACCCUGAUCCAGCAAUGCCGCGUGAGUGAAGAAGGCCUUCGGGUUGUAAAGCUCUUUUGUCCGGGAAGAAACGGUGGUCUCUAAUACAGAUUACUAAUGACGGUACCGGAAGAAUAAGCACCGGCUAACUACGUGCCAGCAGCCGCGGUAAU